Molecule: ribosomal RNA, 253 nt
Filed under: uncultured bacterium
Lineage: Bacteria
Description: partial 16S ribosomal RNA
Rfam family: Bacterial small subunit ribosomal RNA
Source: RNAcentral
UACGUAGGGGGCAAGCGUUGUUCGGAAUUACUGGGCGUAAAGGGUGCGUAGGCGGCACGGCAAGUCGGGAGUGAAAGGCCUGGGCUCAACCGAGGAACUGCUUUCGAGACUGCCGAGCUAGAGUGCGGAAGGGGCAACUGGAAUUCCCAGUGUAGCGGUGAAAUGCGUAGAUAUUGGGAAGAACACCGGAGGCGAAGGCGGGUUGCUGGGCCGACACUGACGCUGAGGCGCGAAAGCCAGGGGAGCAAACGGG